This 77-nucleotide transfer RNA is filed under the name Acidobacteriota bacterium. RNAcentral describes it as "Acidobacteria bacterium (activated sludge metagenome) tRNA-Pro". It matches the Rfam family "tRNA". Rfam says of the family: Transfer RNA (tRNA) molecules are approximately 80 nucleotides in length. Their secondary structure includes four short double-helical elements and three loops (D, anti-codon, and T loops). Lineage: Bacteria; Pseudomonadati; Acidobacteriota. RNAcentral also lists the same sequence under 1 other name. The record is from RNAcentral.
CGGGGCGUAGCUCAGCCUGGUAGAGCGCACGCUUCGGGAGCGUGAGGCCGGAGGUUCAAGUCCUCUCGCCCCGACCA